UACGAAGGGAGCUAGCGUUGUUCGGAAUCACUGGGCGUAAAGCGCACGUAGGCGGAUGUGUCAGUCAGGGGUGAAAUCCCGGAGCUCAACUUCGGAACUGCCUUUGAUACAGCACAUCUGGAGUCCGGAAGAGGUGGGUGGAAUUCCUAGUGUAGAGGUGAAAUUCGUAGAUAUUAGGAAGAACACCAGUGGCGAAGGCGGCUCACUGGCCCGAUACUGACGCUGAUGCGCGAAAGCGUGGGGAGCGAUCCGG
Molecule: ribosomal RNA, 253 nt
Filed under: uncultured bacterium
Lineage: Bacteria
Description: partial 16S ribosomal RNA
Rfam family: Bacterial small subunit ribosomal RNA
Source: RNAcentral